Molecule: non-coding RNA, 4002 nt
Organism: Oryctolagus cuniculus (rabbit)
Lineage: Eukaryota; Metazoa; Chordata; Mammalia; Lagomorpha; Leporidae
Source: RefSeq, a predicted model, not a curated record
CAUUUCAGAUCUGAGUUUCACCACUGGGUGAUGGUAACAACUACCAUCCACGCCCAAUAAGGGAUAUGUUGGGUAGGGAUGGGACAGGACUGUUUAAAAGAAAAUACCAUUUACUCAGAACAUCUGUCAGUCAAGGGUAAAAACUCCUAGACUGAAAGUUUCCACCACUUGCAGGACCCCUUCAAGACUCAGAUCCCAAAUUGCCAAGGGCUACACCAGGAACUUAAACAAAAAAUAUUUACCCCAUGACAGCUAAACCCAUGUGACAUGCAAUCAAGCAAAGUGAUGUGAAUUGAAAAUAUACAUGAAUCCAAUAAGAGUUUAAUUCCAUGGAUCACAGAGUCAUAACAGGAUGGUAAGAGAAGACUGGAUCGAUGACUGGGGCCUAUGCCCAGCCUUCCAUAGUUGACAUCCAGGUAAAUUAACCACUCCAUUUGAAGCCAUGGCCAAGAGGGAGAGGAGAGAUGGAAAAGUAGCCAGAGAGCCACCACAUACAGAUAUGUUGAAAACAGGAAAGGUACGAGUGAUGGUGGGCAGUGUUCAGGGGUGGUUUAUCUACAUAUUUCUAGCCUCUUCCUGCUCUGGCUGUCUCCUGGAGAUCUUGUUUAGACACUGGCCACAAGGGCCGCCCUCCAGCACAAAGCUUAGGGUGUUAUCCGUAGAACCCAGGUGCAGCCAGGGCCACCUUUUGCUCACAUGAAUCCAGUUAGCACGACAAAAGGCAGUAGGGAAAAAAGGCUUCCAGAGUCUACUGACAAAAGAACCUGGGAUCUUAUCUCACUCUCUGUCUCUCUGUCUCUCUCUCUCUCCCCUCCUCUCUCCUCUCUCACCUCCCUCGGGAGUUUCAUUGGAAAAUGGAAAAAGUCCCCCCAGAGUCUUCCAGGUCUCUAACAAUCUGCCUUCUGUAGGGACCAGACACAGCUCUCAAUUCUUAGGGGUCCUUUCCCGGCACAGUUUAUUACACACAAAUUUCCAAGUGAUUUAUUGCAGAUUCAUGAACAAUGGAGGGUGAUGUGUUAUACACAUUUUCUGCAGAUGAAAGAGAUGGAGAGAGGGGAAGAGGCCAUGAGGUUAAGUGGCAAGUGCAAAGCCACCGUGUUGGUGACACCUGGUACUUACAAGAACUUCCCUGAAAACACAGAGUGCUGACUGUGUAGGGGCCCAGAAACGUGAAGAGCAGCAGAAAACCCUUCUGUCUGCCCAGUGAGUCAGCCCUGCCUAACUUCAUGCGUAAGCUCUCCUCAAGUCAGCGGCAGCUCCGAGCUGCGGGCCUGUGUGCAGCCGAGAUAAAUUUGGGUCCAGAAGGGAUGACGUAAUGCUAAACCCGAGAGGUGGCUGCCGCCUCCCCGGGCUCCAGUCGCCAGGACUGCCGGCUGACAUCUCCACCACACAGACACCUCCAGGUGACCCAGGUGCCCCAGCUGGGGAGAGAGGGAAAGAAAGGACAAGGGCUGGGGAGAACAGCAGGGGAGGCAGUGUUAAUCUGAGAUCGCUGAAUCUGGAAGUUUGUUGUUUUUUAACUCCAGUUUUUCUGGUGAGAUCAGACCAUUGGCAAAGGCUCAAACAGCUGCACUUGACCCAUCUCUUUCCUCUUAGAAAAGGGCUUCUCACAUUUUAUUAAAUGGCCCUUAUUACAGCAGCCUAUUUCGGUGAUUAUAAUGGAUGCACUACUCUCUUAAAUGUCCUUUUCUUUCUUGUUUGCACGGACUUGGAUCCAAGAAGAAAUCUGCAAUGCAGGACUCAAUUAACAUGCACAUCGAAGUGGCUUGCUUACCCCGGAGCUCCCCACUUGGGGGGAUCAGGGGUGCAACUGAUUAGGUAUGUGCAGGGAUUUGGCUAAGGCCACAACAAGUGAAUGUUCCCCCAAGUAACAUUUCAUGGUUCCUGUCACAGGAGUUUAUAUCAUUAAGCUUAUUUCUCAGUCUCCAUUUAUUAAGACAACUGAGGCUCAGAGAGGUAUAGCAACUUGCUCAAGGCCACACAGCUGUCUCUCAAACUGAUGGAGCAAGGGUUAGCACUCAGUCCCGCAGCCCUAGGCACUCAUCUGUCUCCAUAUUUCUUCUGCAGGUGAAUUCCAGUUUAAAGAAACAACAGAGGUGGAGCUCCACUUUCUGAUAGUUUUCAACCGUAAAUAUCACGAUCAAGGCACAUGGCAGAGGGCUCCAAGGCUGUUUUUGUUCCCGGUUCCAGGCUUACUCUUCCCCGAGGAUAGGAGAUGGAGAAGCAGCUCCCUCUCUGCUGGCGAUGGCCAUGGCCAUUCCCACUCUCCCACUUUAAUUAAAAGACCCCACAAAUCAACAGCGUGUUGUAUUGAAGUAGUUGCCUUCAUUGGGAACCCCUUCCAAAUACCUUUUUCAAAAGACUCACCACCACAUGUCGCUAUAGUCACGUAUUAUUCUCCUCUAAUUUGUAUCUGUCAUCACAUAUACACGAGAUUUCAUGAUUUUCUGCCAUGUUUGGCAUCUAACCUGGUCAGCCACAGUAUAAUAUUCUUUUGAAGUCCUGCUCAAUUCUGUGGGUUAACAUUUUGCCUAUGACUUUUGCAUCUAUAGCAAAAGCACAAGUAAACUAUAAUAUCCUCUGUUGUGGCAUUUGUCAGGUUUCUGUAUUACAAUGUUCUGUUCUUUCAAAGUUAGAUGCAACUUGAUUUUAAAGCCUGGAGAGGAAAAAAAAAAAAUACCGCCAGAGGCCAGCCUUCUGCUGCUUAGAGGAUGCCCCACAUUCUUGCCACAGCCCUGGGUUACCCUCCUUCCCCCUGCCAGUAGCUGGCCUGGAGAGGCCCUGCCCCCACUCCCUGGCAUCACCACUCCCUUCCAGGAGCAGAAACUCGUAGAGGUCACUGGGAGGCCCAGCCAGGCCCUGGACACUAAAUCACAAGCCUGCUUCCUGCGUCUGAGUUCUCCGUCCCGGGCAGCAUGGAUAAUCAGAUCACCAGGCUCUGCCUGUCCGAAGACACGGGCCAUCUCCCCAUCUCUCCCACCCUGACGGUGUAGGGGAGUGUCAUUUCUGACAAGCACCCGGGAGAUGCCAAGGCUGUCCAGCCUCGGUCUACACGCAUUCUAAACAGCAAAGGUAAAGGCCAUGGUAAGGAGUUUGGAUUUUAAGUGAGGCACAAAAGAAACUAUUGAAGGGCUUUAACCUGGUGAGUGAUGUGAACCUACUUUUACUUGAGAUCUUUCUUGUUUCCUAGAUCUCCCACGGGGACAGUUAGAGGUUGGGCCUACAUGGCUUGAUGGGAUGUGGCCAGCCUGCACUGUCCCCACUGCACCAGGGACUGGGGCUUGUCUGCGGCCUGCCCUAGCCUCCUGUCUGGCUUCCCUGGCAGAAGCCCUUGGCCCUAAGCAUGGGACAGCCCAGUUGCCCUACAAGCUGGGGCACCUCUGGGAAGCCUCCUCCAGCCUGCCAGGGUGUGGAUUCACACCCCUGACACCCCAGAGCACAGAGCCACUGGAGUCCUACUGGUUGGACACUGCAGUUGGAUCCCAGCAGUAUGGGGCCGAGGGCAUGCUGAGCGGGACAGUGCACUUCGUAGGACGCUGGUGUGUGUGGACAGUCCUCCACGUGCAGAAGGCCACGCCUAUAAAGAACUCACAGUGGAAUGUGUUUAUUUACAAGCCUGCUUGUGAGCCCUCCCCAGAUGAUAAUCCCCAUUUCUGGGAGUGGCAGUGGGAGAGCGACUGCACCAAGGACAGGGAUGCUCAACUGAAAACAAACAUCCACUCCACCCCGCUGUCAAUCAGCCCACAACACUUGGGUGGGGGGAGAACAACUGCACAUAGGAGACAGUUGAGACAUCCUUGCAGAAUGGAUGAACCCGUCACAGGACAGCUCUCACCACCGAAACGUGACCCACUGGAACCGUCUUCCCUUUUAGCCUGGGAGGGGGAAGAGGAGGAGGCGGAGAAACUGAGAUCAAGCGAUUACAGGGGAACUCGCCGAAAUGAAGGCGGGGAGGUUGUGCACCUGAGCCGGUCAGCAUUGCCCUUUGCAGUAGUGACCUAA